Molecule: unclassified non-coding RNA, 150 nt
Filed under: Fusarium chlamydosporum
Lineage: Eukaryota; Fungi; Ascomycota; Sordariomycetes; Hypocreales; Nectriaceae
Also listed under: 4 other names
Description: partial internal transcribed spacer 2
Source: RNAcentral
CAACCCUCAAGCUCAGCUUGGUGUUGGGACUCGCGGUAACCCGCGUUCCCCAAAUCGAUUGGCGGUCACGUCGAGCUUCCAUAGCGUAGUAAUCAUACACCUCGUUACUGGUAAUCGUCGCGGCCACGCCGUAAAACCCCAACUUCUGAA